Molecule: ribosomal RNA, 710 nt
Filed under: Alatina alata
Lineage: Eukaryota; Metazoa; Cnidaria; Cubozoa; Carybdeida; Alatinidae
Description: eukaryotic LSU rRNA
Rfam family: Eukaryotic large subunit ribosomal RNA
Source: RNAcentral
AGCGGGAAAAGCUCAAGACUGAAUCUCCAUCGCUCUGCGAUGGCGAAUUGUAGUCUCGAGAAGCGUUUUCUAGGCGAGCUCAUCUCACCAAAGUUGCUUGGAACAGCAUAUCGAAGAGGGUGACAAUCCCGUGCGAGGUGAAGAUGGACUGCUGAUGAUACGCUUUCCAUGAGUCGGGUUGCUUGAGAAUGCAGCCCUAAAUGGGUGGUAAACUCCACCUAAAGCUAAAUAUUGGCACGAGACCGAUAGUGAACAAGUACCGUGAGGGAAAAAUGAAAAGAACUUUGAAAAGAGAGUUAAAAAGUACGUGAAACCGUUAAAAGGGAAACGGAUGGAGUUGGCAAUGUGCCGAUGAGAUUCAGACGAACGGACCAUCGAAUGGGCAGUGUGUGGAUUCCUGCGAACUGCAUCUGUCCUUGACGUUGGGCCUACCGUCGCAUUUCCCGUCAGUACGUGUCAGCAAGUGUUGAAACAGGGUCACAAGCUCCCUUGGAUGGUAGGUGCCACUUCGGUGUCACUGGAUAGCCUUGGGUAGCUGGGCUUUGAAUCGACAGAGGGUUUUGAAAAGCAGCCCUGUCUUUAUCAUUCGUCUUGUCGGCGGGCUUUCGACCAUGGUGGACUGCAUGCAGUGCACCUGAACUGGAGUCUGUCGAUGGGUCGUUUGUUUUGGCAGUGGCUCAUGUUGCUGGCAAGCAUAUGACUUCAUCCGA